RNAcentral lists this non-coding RNA (24 nucleotides) under Rattus norvegicus (Norway rat). Lineage: Eukaryota; Metazoa; Chordata; Mammalia; Rodentia; Muridae. The record is from RNAcentral.
GAGCCUGGCAGGUGGUCUUGGGCC